AGCUUUUCGAAUCCGUGCUGAGAUAUCGUCAGACACCAACCCAUUAGGGCUGAUCACACUUCAAAGAUACGUGAAGUU
Non-coding RNA from Schistosoma curassoni, 78 nucleotides. The record is from Rfam. NCBI's taxonomy places the organism in Eukaryota, Metazoa, Platyhelminthes, Trematoda, Strigeidida, Schistosomatidae.